RNAcentral lists this transfer RNA (74 nucleotides) under Agitococcus sp. RNAcentral's name for it is "tRNA-Gly". It matches the Rfam family "tRNA". Rfam says of the family: Transfer RNA (tRNA) molecules are approximately 80 nucleotides in length. Lineage: Bacteria; Pseudomonadati; Pseudomonadota; Gammaproteobacteria; Moraxellales; Moraxellaceae. The record is from RNAcentral.
GCGGGCGUAGCUUAAUGGUAGAGCUGUAGCCUUCCAAGCUUCAGACACGGGUUCGAUUCCCGUCGCCCGCUCCA